UAAAAAUGUGGGUCUCACAUUCCACUAACUUUUUCAACCAAUUUUUCUCUACAUUUCUUAAAACUCGUGUUCGGUCAAAGAGCGACUCCGGGGAAGGAGGGAGUAUAACAGAGUAGCAUCAUUUAUCACAUACAACGUCAUUUACUCGAAUUAAAUAUGCAAAACUAUCUCAUAAAUAUCACACCUGUAAAUAACCAACAAGUCACUACCUCAAUAAAUAUGUUUGGUGGGGGGAUAUUUGUACCUAAAUAUUGCUUAUAAAGAAGAAUGCGUACUACCUCAACAUAAAUAGUCAGACUUUUUUUAGAAAUUAUAAAAUCUUUAACCUUGAUUAAAUUAAUGCUUAGGUUAAAGAAGUGCGCCGCACAUAUGAAAAUGAAACAUAUACUAUUAUUUAGUUUGAAAAUGUAAUAGAUUUAGAGGUAGAAAUGAAUGGGUUGGUGAAAAUAUUGUGAAUUUACAAAUGCACUUGUGCACAAUCUUCACCGGCCGGUCAAACAUUUUAUUGAUUUUAACCAUUAGAUUAUUUCCACACAACCCAAAUAUCUUUGGAGCUUUAUUUGUGUGCCUAUAAAUUCAACUCAUCAACACAUGAAUCCAUGACUUUCUCUCUCACUAACACACACAUCUUAUCUUAGACAAGGGGUUUUCUCAGAUGAUCGGUUGAAAGUUUGAGGUGAUUGAACGAUCAUGGCGUGUAUUGAUGUCGUGAAACAUGUAAGCGAUUUCUGUAUUAUUCUUGUCAAGUCAGCCGUCGCCUUAAUUUUGCAGUUAGCCUUUGCUUCAUUGUCUGUUCGACCUUAAAAUUGAUAUAAAACCCUAAUUUUGCCCUUAAUUUAUGCACAAGAUUUCUUCAAUUUUUGAAAUUUGGAUCAUGUAUAGAUUAACUAGUGCACAUGAAUGAAUUUAAGGUUUUGAAAUUCUUCUAAGUAUUGAUCGACUAUCAAAUUAGGAACCAAUGAUCGUUUUGGAGACUAUAAAAUCAUAGGAAGAUCAAUCAAAAUAUAUGUAUGCAUUACAUAUAAAACUAUAUAUAAGUAGAACACUUAAAUUGUGAUAUGUAUAUGAAUGGAUGUGGAUACUAUAUAUUGAAUCAUGUGAGGAAAUAUAUAUUCAUAAAGAUGAAGAAAUAAAUAUAUAUAGAAUAUUUAGGUACUUGUAUUUUCUGACAUUGCUGAUCAUUCAGAUUUAGCUUGGAUCCUUCUAGAAUUGAAACUGCUGUAUUUUGUCAUCUACAUAAUAAAGCCAACUGUAAUUCUUACCUUUUUAUAAUUUCAAAACUAUAAUGAUAUGAUUCCAUGGAUUGAUUAGUGUUGGUGUUGGUGUAUGGUAUGGGUAAAAGUGAUUCAUUUAAUAUAGUUUUAGAUAGGUGGACCAUGGAAGCCCGUUGCAUAUUAAUGUUUCAUUUUAAGGUAGCAAACUCUUUGGAAUUGAAUCUGAUGAAUAAAUCAAGAAUUGGGAGUGUGGGUGCAUGUAUCUUGAAAUAUACCAUAUGCUAAAUAAAAACAAAUUGGUGGUGAUUUAAAUCUCUGUAUAAAAUGAGACACGAGACUGAAAUAGUUAGGAAAUUAAAAGGGUGUUUAAGAUUAGUUUAAGGUUGAACAUGCAAUGAAGCUAAGUUGUAACUUGCAAUUGACUGCUCGCUUUGCCAAGAUUAUGUAUGGAAAUCGAUCAAUCAAUUGCAGCAGAAAAGGGUAAGAAAUUUUGCAUUUUCAGAUUGUUGUACAUUACAAGAGUAUUUAUCUCUUUGCAGGCAGGGUAUGUACUAGAUAUAUAAUUUAAAUAUGAAAUUAUAUGGUAUUUUGUUUUAUUAGUUUCUA
Salvia splendens (bonfire salvia) is the source of this 1820-nucleotide long non-coding RNA. RefSeq lists it as uncharacterized. NCBI's taxonomy places the organism in Eukaryota, Viridiplantae, Streptophyta, Magnoliopsida, Lamiales, Lamiaceae. The transcript is spliced from 2 exons. The record is from RefSeq and is a predicted model, not a curated record.